GAUGAACGCUGGCGGCGUGCCUAAUACAUGCAAGUCGAACGAAACUUCUUUAUCACCGAGUGCUUGCACUCACCGAUAAAGAGUUGAGUGGCGAACGGGUGAGUAACACGUGGGCAACCUGCCCAAAAGAGGGGGAUAACACUUGGAAACAGGUGCUAAUACCGCAUAACCAUAGUUACCGCAUGGUAACUAUGUAAAAGGUGGCUAUACUACCGCUUUUGGAUGGGCCCGCGGCGCAUUAGCUAGUUGGUAGGGUAAAGGCUUACCAAGGCAAUGAUGCGUAGCCGAAUUGAGAGGUUGAUCGGCCACAUUGGAACUGAGACACGUCCCAAACUCCUCAGGGAGGCAGCAGUAGGGAAUCUAACACAAUGGGCGAAAGCCUGAUGGAGCAACGCCGCGUGGGUGAAGAAGGUCUUCGGAUCGUAAAACCCUGUUGUUAGAGAAGAAAGUGCGUGAGAGUAACUGUUCACGUUUCGACGGUAUCUAACCAGAAAGCCACGGCUAACUACGUG
This 512-nucleotide ribosomal RNA is filed under the name uncultured bacterium. Its description in RNAcentral is "partial 16S ribosomal RNA". It matches the Rfam family "Bacterial small subunit ribosomal RNA", at positions 28 to 507 of the family's 1533-position model. The record is from RNAcentral.